Molecule: ribosomal RNA, 2123 nt
Filed under: gut metagenome
Description: bacterial LSU rRNA
Rfam family: Bacterial large subunit ribosomal RNA
Source: RNAcentral
AUGCCUUGGCUCUCGGAGGCGACGAAGGACGUGACAAGCUGCGAUAAGCCGCGGGGAGGAGCAAAUAUCCCCUGAUCCGCGGAUUUCCGAAUGGGGCAACCCGUCGGGAGCGAUCCCGACAUCCAUGCGGAGCAUGGAGGCGAACGCGGGGAACUGAAACAUCUAAGUACCCGCAGGAAUAGAAAGUAAACACGAUUCCCCCAGUAGCGGCGAGCGAACGGGGAAGAGCCCAAACCGGCGGCGUGGCGACGCGCGUGCCGGGGUUAUAGGGCCGGCGCCGAGCGGAUGCGUCAGGGAAGCGGAACCGUCUGGAAAGGCGGGCCGGAGCGGGUGAGAGCCCCGUACGCGCAAGGAUGGCACAUCUGCGAGCCGGUACCUGAGUAGGCCGGAGCACGAGGAAUUCCGGUUGAAUUGUCGGGGACCAUCCCGAAAGGCUAAAUACUACCGAGAGACCGAUAGCGAACGAGUACCGUGAGGGAAAGGUGAAAAGCACCUCGGACAGAGGAGUGAAAGAGACCCUGAAACCAUGCGCCUACAAGCGGUCGGAGCCACUUCGUGUGGUGACGGCGUGCCUUUUGCAUAAUGAACCUGCGAGUUGCCGUCGGCGGCGAGGCUAAGUGCCUGAGGCACGGAGCCGGAGCGAAAGCGAGUCCGAACAGGGCGCUGAGUCGCCGGAGGCAGACGCGAAACCGAGUGAUCUACGCAUGGGCAGGAUGAAGGACAGGUAACACUGUCUGGAGGUCCGAACCGGUAAGCGUUGAAAAGCUUUCGGAUGACCUGUGCGUAGGAGUGAAAGGCCAAUCAAACUCGGAGAUAGCUCGUACUCCCCGAAAUGCAUUUAGGUGCAGCCUCGGGGUAAGUGCCGCGGAGGUAGAGCGACCGAUAGGAUGCGAGGGCUUCGCCGCCUAUCAAGUCCUGACGAACUCCGAAUGCCGCGGCAUGGUCCCCGGGAGUGAGGGCGCGGGUGCUAAGGUCCGCGUCCGAGAGAGGAACAACUCAGACCACCGUCCAAGGCCCCGAAAUCCGGGCUGAGUUGAAGGCAAUAACGAGGUGGGGCCGCAGCGACAGCUAGGAUGUUGGCUUGGAAGCAGCCAUUCAUUUAAAGAGUGCGUAACAGCUCACUAGUCGAGCGGCCCCGCGUGGAUAAUAAUCGGGCAUAAGUCCGGUGCCGAAGACGUGGAAUCGACAUAAUAGUUGAUUGGUAGGGGAGCAUUCCGUCGUCAGCGAAGGUAUUCCGUGAGGGGUGCUGGAGACGAGGGAAAGGCAAAUGCAGGUAUAAGUAACGACAAAGGGGGCGUGAAACCCCCUCGCCGGAAGACCAAGGGUUCCUGAACAACGCUAAUCGGUUCAGGGUAAGUCGGGACCUAACGCCGGCCGGAGACGGCAGAGGCGGAUGGACAUGCGGUCAAUAUUCCGCAACCCGUCGCGGUCGAGGCCCAGCGGAGACGGAGGAGCGAAGCGCGCGCGCACUGACGGAAUAGUGCGUUGAAGGGAGGUAGGCUGAAGCGUCCGGAGGAAACGGACGUGCCGAGCCCCGAAAGUACUUGAGGCGGCAACGCCGAGAGACAGCCGUGACGGAGCAUACUCCCGAGAAAAUCCGCGCGGGCCGCCUGAGACCGUGUCGGCCCGUACCGCAAACCGACACAGGUGGUCGGGUAGAAAAUACCAAGGCGCUCGAGAGAUUCACGGUCAAGGAACUAGGCAAACCAGCCCCGUAACUUCGGGAUAAGGGGCCCUCCGCGUAGGCGGAGGCGCAGAGAAUAGGUCCAGGCAACUGUUUAGCAAAAACACAGGGCUGUGCGAAGCCGCAAGGCGCGGUAUACAGCCUGACACCUGCCCGGUGCCGGAAGGUUAAGCGGAGUCGUCAUCGCAAGAGAAGCGGCGAAGUGAAGCCCCGGUAAACGGCGGCCGUAACUAUAACGGUCCUAAGGUAGCGAAAUUCCUUGUCGGGUAAGUUCCGACCUGCACGAAUGGUGUAAUGAUCCGGACACUGUCUCGACCGUGAGCUCGGUGAAAUUGUAGUAUCGGUGAAGAUGCCGAUUACCCGCAACGGGACGAAAAGACCCCGUGAACCUUUACUGCAGCUUAGCAUUGGGGCCGGGUGUGCGAUGUGUAGGAUAGUC